RNAcentral lists this unclassified non-coding RNA (218 nucleotides) under Hevea brasiliensis (rubber tree). The record is from RNAcentral. Lineage: Eukaryota; Viridiplantae; Streptophyta; Magnoliopsida; Malpighiales; Euphorbiaceae.
CAUAUGUCAAUCUCUUGCCUUUCCUGAGAAAGGAAAUGAAAGAAUUCGAGACAUUAUCAAUCCAAAAUUUAUUUCAUCUACGAAGCAAUGAUAACAAUCAUCUUCAAGUUAUCAGUUAUUCACAGCAAGAAUAUUCAGCUUGUGUUAGACAUUAUAGUUUAUCAAUUGAUAUAUUCCCCAGAAAAGUCAAAGAAACAUACCCAUCCUCAAUAUCAUGG